RNAcentral lists this long non-coding RNA (1977 nucleotides) under Homo sapiens (human). RNAcentral describes it as "HSALNT0328632". The record is from RNAcentral. Lineage: Eukaryota; Metazoa; Chordata; Mammalia; Primates; Hominidae.
UACUAUGCUUAUGAGAACUACUCAUUUAUCACAUUUGAGUGUAGUUAAGUGGAGUACUUCAAAGCCGCAUUUGACUUCAGUUUCACUUCUCCACUAUAAGUUAUCAGUACUCAACAGAGUGAACAAUUUGAGAGGUGUGCAACUCUUGAUCUCCUUAUUGAUCUCUGUUUUCUCUGAUAUAAAUUAUGAGUUUUCAUUUUCACUCAACACCCUGCAGGAAAGAGAAAACAGAUUCAGACUAAAGCACGUGCCUGACAAUGUGUCUGCUGCAUUGCAUGAGGCAGCCUUGCUGCAGCCAACCAUAGUGGGUGCCCUUGUAGGUCCAAUUAAGAGGCUUAAUUGAAGAAUUCCAAGUUAGCAGACUGUCCUGGCACUCAGAGGAUAUUGUGCCUGGUAAUGAUAGUGUUGAAUUGGACAGAAAGAAUAUUCACAAAGCUUCAAGAAAGGCCUCCUCUGCUAAAAAUGCUCUCUGAUUAGCCAUUCACUGCUUCCUGAACUAUGAAGACAUCUUCUAGGAAUACUCAGGAUCUUCUGCUAUGUGGCUUUAAUUUAUUUUAAGAUUAAUUCCUCAUUACCUUCUUACACAAAGCCACCAUUAGCAUAUCAAGCACAGCUGUACAAAUUUUUAAAAGGCCAAAAGAUGUAUCUGCCAAUUCUAGGAGGAUAUAAACCUGAAGGCACAAAUCUGGGCUGGAGCACAUGGUUUCCCUUGUGAGAAGAAAAAGUCUCCUUCCUCUGAAUGGACACACCUUGCACACCAGGGCACAAGGUUUGUCUAGAAGAGCACAGCUGAACAUCAUAAAGUGCAGAACCACACACCUGGCAUCCUUGUCCCUACACAAGGUAUGUUGCUGUUAAAGUAUAAUUUGUUACUCUCCAAAGCACACUCACAAUUCCCUACUUGGGUCCCUUGUUGCAUGUUACUGCUCCUCAUUUAUGCAUUUGGAUGCUUUCUUAUAUUUUUCCUCAACCUCUACCACAUUCAGUUAGGCACUCAGCCUAUAUUUCAUGUAUACCUAUGUAGCAGGUCUUAUGACCAGAGUUGGGGAUGCACAGAAAUUGCAGAUUUCUUAUUCAUGACAUUACUUCUCAUCCCCACAACUCAAUAUGAUAAUUCCUUUCCCUAACCACCCCACUUCCCAAUGCACAUAGUAUUUUGUCUGUACUUUCCUUUGGGAAUUUACAUUUUCUACUCUUUCUAGUACUGUGCAAACAUAUGUUUUCUUUGCCAUUAAACUUAAUGGCAUGGACUUAAAAAUCUUGAUAUCUAGAACAGUGCCUAGCCCUGUAACUUGAGGAUAUAAAUUAAACUUAAUUGAAUUAUUCAUUACCUUCCUUGUAACUUUAACUGUCGCAUUAUGACUGUAACUCAAUCCGUGUAUUAUAUGUCAGCAAAGUUGAGCGCCUUUUCCGUGCAGUUACACUUUGAGUUACUUAAGGAUUACAUCCUUUUGCUAGAGUCCUCAAACAGCAUUUAGUGGCAUCUUUCAGACAUGUGGCGCUUGCAGAGCUCGAGAAAAGAUGGCAGAAUUAUAUGUCUUUUCCUUUUUCUUCUUUUUGGCAGCUCUUUACCUAAUGAUGUAGACUAUAUUUGAUACACUGUAGUUUUCUUAUUCUGCUAAAUUCCUCAUCAACACAUGACCUCGAUAGAUAUUGCUGUCAACAUCUUCAAUUUCUUCUUUCUAUUUAUCUUGACAAAUCCCUGGGUGCAGUAUUAAUUUUAUCUACCUUAGCAUGGAGGUGAUUAUUUUAGCUCAUUUUAAUGCUCCUUCUAUGUAGUUGCCCAUUAGUGAUCGCAAGAAGUUGAUUCUACAACCACUACUCCCCUCCUGCCUCACUGCAGAUACCAAAACUUUCAGUUCCUUGUAUAAAAUGGUAUUUGCGUAUAAUCUACACACAUCUUCCCAUAUACUUUAAGCCUUCUCUAGAUUAUUUAAAAUACCCAUUAUGAUGUAAAUGCUAUGUAAGUAGUUAUAC